AAUGUCUUAUCACUCUAAAAUGUCUUAUACACCCGCAUUGACAAUUCCUAGCACUGAGAAAAAGGAGCAAGCUUAAGCUGUUUUCUCUGCUCUUUGAUCCCGUGAAAAAAAAAUGGCUGGAGAUGAAGAAAAGCUUCGAAUAGUGUGAUGUUUCCAUGGCUAGCCUUUGGUCACAUGAUCCCAAACCUUGAGCUGGCCAAACUCAUUGCUCAAAAGGGUCACCACGUGAGUUUCGUAUCCACCCAAGAAACAUAGAGCGUCUUCCAAAACCGUCACUAAACACACUUGAUAUCAAUUUCGUGAACCUUCCACUGCCUAAAGUCCAAAACCUUCCAGAAAACGCAGAAGCCAACACUGACAUCCCCUACGACGUCUUUGAACACCUCAAAGAAGCCUACGACGUUCUCCAAGAACCGCUGAAACGUUUUCUCGAAUCUUCCAAACCCGAUUGAGUCUUCUACGACUUCGCUCCCUUUUGGGUGGGUUCAAUGGCUUCGAAGCUUGGCAUCAAAGCGCUUUUUUCAGCAUUUGCACUCCACCCUUCUCGGGGUUCUUAGCAGGGGAACCCCUGUAGGUGCAACUUGCUUGAUUAAAUCCUUGAGUUUCUCCAUGCCACAUUCCGAAAGAAUGCCAAAUCUUAUUGGAUUAGUUCCAGUAAAUGAGUAACCCAAAAACUCACCUUGACGUGGUAUGUUCCACUUCCCGUUGUAAUACAUAAUUGCAUCAUGAGUAGGAGUGAUGGUUGAUUGAAGCAGGUUGAACAUAGCAUCCGGUGUUCUAAUAAUGGUACAUAAUAAUUCUAUAGGGCCAACACACGAGUAUUGGUCAUUGCACAUUAACAUUGUGUAAACAUCAUCAUCAUUUUUCAAUUGUAAAGAUUGAAAAAAAUAUUGUUGACCUGCAUCUAUGAAUGACUGUCGGUAGUAGAUUUCAUCCAGUAGUUGAUCGUUGGUUAGUUGAAGGGUGUUGUCCAUUCUACGCUUGAGUGUAUCAAAAGAACAGUUGUUAGGAACUCGCAUUGGUGUUGGAAUGAGACUUUGAAAAUAAACACCAGUUUGGUUGUAACUGAUUGAUCCAUUUGGAAGAAUGAAAGCUAAUCUAGAGAUAGUAAUGGUCUGACUGCUUGUUUCUUCCAAAAAUGACAUAGUAAUAAGAUUGAAUUUGGUUUGUGAAAUUAUAUUGUGUGAGAUUGUGUGUUUGUAUUGUGCCUGUGUUGUGUUAUUUAUAGUUGUAUGAGUAUUCUGCCACGUUGAUGUGUAUUGGAAUCCAAUGUUUCUCUUUCCCUAGUAAGUGAUGUAGCAGACGUCCAUUAUAAUUUCAGAGUGAACAAAGAGAUUAUGAGUUGUCCAUCUCAUGUCAGUUUUGCACAUGUCUCUAAAAAUUAAAUGUAUUACCUGUAAAACUGACAUGAAAUGGACAGCUCAUAAUUCAGAGUAUUGUUAAUUUGGACUGUGAUUUUUCCCAUGUAAUUAAAGCAACAGACGUUCAUGAUGAUUUUCAGAGUGAAUAAAGAGAUGAUGAGUUGUCCAUUUCAUGACAGUUUUGUAGGUGAGACAUUUAAUUUUUAGAGACGUGUGCAAAUUGCAGAGUAUUGUCAAUUUGGAUUGUGAUUUUUCCCUUGUAAUUAAAGCAGUAAACGUCCAUAGUUAUUUUCAGAGUGAAUAAAGAGAUUAUGAGUUGUCAAUUUCAUGUCAAUUUUGUCGAUGAGACAUUUAAUUUUUAAAAACAAUGUAGUGUAAAUGACAAAGUAUUGUGAAUUUUGACAGUUAUGUUACCAUGUCAACUACAAUAGUAAAAGUGAGUAAAUUGAAAAUUGCAAAUUUAAAUUUAAAGGAAAAAUUAUUUCAAUACGUAAAGUGAUAACUGAAGACAGACAUAAGACAUUACAUGAAAAUCUCAAAGAAGAAAUAACUUAGACAUGAAUGAUCCGUAGAUUACCAAUCCCGUUUGAAUAUAGGUUCGUGGGAUGGAGACAGGUUAUUUCCUUCAGGCCCGGAAGAGGAGUCCGUAUCACUAUCAUGGUUUUUGAGCCAACAAGUAUCGUAUUCACUUGAUAAGUCCUCAAGAUUAGAGGUUGAGCCAUGUUGGUUGCUUGGUGGGUCAUUAUUGUGAUAGAUUAUGGCAAAUAAUUCCACAAAUGGUAGUGAUGGGUUGUUGUAAAAAAUGUUGAACAUUUGUCGAACAUCAACAUCAUCUCAUAGAAUAAAAGAUGUGUACAUAUAACGUUGUCCUGACUCAAAUAUAGGGCAUUGGAAAUGGAGAUGUUGGAUAUGUUGUUCUGGGUCAA
Long non-coding RNA from Glycine soja, 2287 nucleotides. RefSeq lists it as uncharacterized. Lineage: Eukaryota; Viridiplantae; Streptophyta; Magnoliopsida; Fabales; Fabaceae. The record is from RefSeq and is a predicted model, not a curated record. The transcript has 2 exons.